CAUAUUUAAUGUUGAAAUUUGUCCAUACAGUUACUGGCAGCAAAUGAUAGUUGGAAAGCAUUUAGAGGAAGAAGUACCGAAGCCAAGGAUCUGAUCUUUACUCGAGAGAGAUCUUCAUUAUUUCAGCUAAGAAUGAAAUAUAAUGUGUUCUUGGCAAAUAAUUCCACUGGAGUGUGUGACUUCAGAAUCAAAGCAACUUGGUUAGGAGACUCUUGGGAUGUUUACAUUGGAGAGUCUGACAUUGUUGUUGCCCAGAUAAACAAAAAGCUGGGCACUAUGUUUAGCAGAGAGAAGUACAUGGUGUCAGUGUAUCCGAACAUUGAUUAUGCAUUCAUUGUGGCGCUAAUUGUGACUCUUGCAUGAACGGUGUAUGGUUAAAUAACUCAAUUUCUUUAGUGUAAAGUUGUUUUAUACUAAUAAUUAAUUAUAUUUUUUAAUUAUAUUA
This is a non-coding RNA of Cajanus cajan (pigeon pea), 445 nucleotides long. Lineage: Eukaryota; Viridiplantae; Streptophyta; Magnoliopsida; Fabales; Fabaceae. The record is from RefSeq and is a predicted model, not a curated record.